UACGUAGGGUGCGAGCGUUAAUCGGAAUUACUGGGCGUAAAGCGUGCGCAGGCGGUUCGUUGUGUCUGAUGUGAAAGCCCCGGGCUCAACCUGGGAAUGGCAUUGGAAACUGGCGAGCUAGAGUGUGGCAGAGGGGGGUGGAAUUCCGCGUGUAGCAGUGAAAUGCGUAGAUAUGCGGAGGAACACCGAUGGCGAAGGCAAUCCCCUGGACCUGUACUGACGCUCAUGCACGAAAGCGUGGGGAGCAAACAGG
RNAcentral lists this ribosomal RNA (253 nucleotides) under uncultured bacterium. Its description in RNAcentral is "partial 16S ribosomal RNA". It matches the Rfam family "Bacterial small subunit ribosomal RNA", at positions 524 to 776 of the family's 1533-position model. The record is from RNAcentral.